UACGUAGGUCCCGAGCGUUGUCCGGAUUUAUUGGGCGUAAAGCGAGCGCAGGUGGUUUAAUAAGUCUGAUGUAAAAGGCAGUGGCUCAACCAUUGUGUGCAUUGGAAACUGUUAGACUUGAGUGCAGUAGAGGAGAGUGGAAUUCCAUGUGUAGCGGUGAAAUGCGUAGAUAUAUGUAGGAACACCGGUGGCGAAAGCGGCUCUCUGGACUGUAACUGACACUGAGGCUCGAAAGCGUGGGUAGCAAACAGG
RNAcentral lists this ribosomal RNA (252 nucleotides) under uncultured microorganism. RNAcentral's name for it is "partial 16S ribosomal RNA". It matches the Rfam family "Bacterial small subunit ribosomal RNA", at positions 524 to 776 of the family's 1533-position model. The record is from RNAcentral.